RNAcentral lists this ribosomal RNA (480 nucleotides) under uncultured bacterium. Its description in RNAcentral is "bacterial SSU rRNA". It matches the Rfam family "Bacterial small subunit ribosomal RNA", at positions 30 to 506 of the family's 1533-position model. The record is from RNAcentral.
UUGAACGCUGGCGGCAUGCCUUACACAUGCAAGUCGAACGGUAACAGGUCUUCGGAUGCUGACGAGUGGCGAACGGGUGAGUAAUACAUCGGAACGCGCCCGAUCGUGGGGGAUAACGCAGCGAAAGCUGUGCUAAUACCGCAUACGAUCUACGGAUGAAAGCGGGGGACCGUAAGGCCUCGCGCGAUUGGAGCGGCCGAUGUCGGAUUAGCUAGUUGGUGGGGUAAAGGCCUACCAAGGCGACGAUCCGUAGCGGGUCUGAGAGGAUGAUCCGCCACACUGGGACUGAGACACGGCCCAGACUCCUACGGGAGGCAGCAGUGGGGAAUUUUGGACAAUGGGCGCAAGCCUGAUCCAGCAAUGCCGCGUGCAGGAUGAAGGCCUUCGGGUUGUAAACUGCUUUUGUACGGAACGAAACGGUUCUCUUUAAUAAAGAGGGCUAAUGACGGUACCGUAAGAAUAAGCACCGGCUAACUACGU